This 440-nucleotide ribosomal RNA is filed under the name uncultured bacterium. RNAcentral describes it as "partial 16S ribosomal RNA". It matches the Rfam family "Bacterial small subunit ribosomal RNA", at positions 338 to 795 of the family's 1533-position model. The record is from RNAcentral.
CCUACGGGUGGCAGCAGUGGGGGAUAUUGCACAAUGGGGGAAACCCUGAUGCAGCGACGCCGCGUGUGGGAUGACGGUCCUCUGGAUUGUAAACCACUUUCCCCAGGGACGAAGCUGCCGCUACCUGGGGAUUCUGCUCCGGCUAACUACGUGCCAGCAGCCGCGGUCAUACGUAGGGAGCGCGCGUUGUCCGGAAUUACUGGGUGUAAGGGGAGCGUAGGCGGUACUGCAAGUUGGCGGUAAAAUCUCCCGGCUCAACCGGUAGUCGCACUCAAAACUGCAGUUCUUGAGUGAAGUAGAGGCAGGCGGAAUUCCUAGUGUAGCGGUGAAAUGCGUAGAUAUCAGGAGGAACACCAGUGGCGAAGGCGGCCUGCUGGGCUUGUACUGACGCUGAGGCUCGAAAGUGUGGGGAGCAAACAGGAUUAGAGACCCGAGUAGUC